RNAcentral lists this long non-coding RNA (2309 nucleotides) under Cyanistes caeruleus (blue tit). RNAcentral describes it as "lncRNA (ENSCCEG00000007242.1)". The record is from RNAcentral. Lineage: Eukaryota; Metazoa; Chordata; Aves; Passeriformes; Paridae.
AGGGUUCGUGUUGGGGAGCACCUGGAGACCGUUUUCCUGCUGAGCGGGAACGACCCCGGCAUCCACCUGUACCGGGAGGUGAGAGCCAAAAUCCCCCAAAAUACCCCAAAAACCCAAAAAUUCACCCCAAAAUACCCCAAAUUCACACCAAAUCCACCUGUACCGGGAGGUGAGAGCCAAAAUCCCCCAAAUUCACCCCAAAAAUCCACAAAUUCACCCCAAAAACCCCAAAUUCACUCCAAAAAUCCAAAAAUUCACCCCAAAAAACCCCAAAAAUCCACAAAUUCACCCUAAAAUACCCCAAAAUCACCCCAAAAAUCAACAAAUUCACCCCAAAAUACCCCAAAAAUCCACAAAUUCACCCCAAAAAACCCCAAAAAUCCACAAAUUCACCUGUACCGGGAGGUGAGAGCCAAAAUCCCCCAAAUCACCCCAAAAACCCCAAAUUCACCCCAAAAUCCCCCAAAUUCACCCCAAAACCCCACAAAUUCACCCCAAAAAUACAAAAAUUCACCCCAAAAAUCUACAAAUUCACCCCAAAAACCCCAAAUUCACCCCAAAUCCACCUGUACCAGGAGGUGAGAGCCAAAAUCCCCCAAAUUCACCCCAAAAACCCCAAAUUCACCCCAAAAAUCCACAAAUUCACCCCGGCAUCCACCUGUACCGGGAGGUGAGAGCCAAAAUCCCCCAAAAUCCCCCAAAUUCACCCCAAAAAUACAAAAAUUCACCCCAAAUUCACCCCAAAUCCACCUGUACCGGGAGGUGAGAGCCAAAAUACCCCAAAUUCACCCCAAAAAUCUAAAAAUUCACCCCAAAAACCCACAAAUUCACCCCAAAAAUACAAAAAUUCACCCCGGAAUCCACCUGUACCGGGAGGUGAGAGCCAAAAUCCCCCAAAUUCACCCCAAAAUACCCCAAAUUCACCCCAAAUUCACCCCAAAUUCACCCAAAAACCCCCAAAUUUACCCCAAAUUCACCCCAAAUUCACCCCAAAUCCACCUGUACCGGGAGGUGAGAGCCAAAAUACCCCAAAAAACCCCAAAAACCCCAAAUUCACCCCAAAAACCCCCAAAUUCACACCAAAUUCACCUGUACCGGGAGGUGAGAGCCAAAAUCCCCCAAAUUCACCCCAAAAAUCCAAAAAUUCACCCCAAAAAUCCACAAAUUCACCCCAAAAAUCCACAAAUUCACACCAAAUCCACCUGUACCGGGAGGUGAGAGCCAAAAUACCCCAAAAAACCCCAAAUUCACCCCAAAAAUACAAAAAUUCACCCCAAAAUACCCCAAAAACCCACAAAUUCACCCCAAAAUACCCCAAAUUCAUCCCAAAAAUCCACAAAUUCACCCCAAAAUACCCCGGCAUCCACCUGUACCGGGAGGUGAGAGCCAAAAUCCCCCAAAUUCACCCCAAAAAUCCACAAAUUCACCCCAAAAACCCCAAAUUCACACCAAAUCCACCUGUACCGGGAGGUGAGAGCCAAAAUCCCCCAAAUUCACCCCAAAAUCCCCCAAAUUCACCCCAAAAACCCCAAAUUCACCCCAAAUUCACCCCAAAUCCACCUGUACCGGGAGGUGAGAGCCAAAAUCCCCCAAAUUCACCCCAAAAAUCCACAAAUUCACCCCAAAAAUCCACAAAUUCACCCCAAAAAUCUACAAAUUCACCCCAAAAAAACCCAAAUUCACCCCAAAAUACCCCAAAUUCACCCCAAAAAUCCACAAAUUCACCCCAAAAAACCCCAAAUUCACCCCAAAAUACCCCAAAUUCACCCCAAAAACCCCAAAUUCACCCCAAAAAUACAAAAAUUCACCCCAAAAUACCCCAAAAACCCACAAAUUCACCCCAAAAUACCCCAAAUUCACCCCAAAAAUCCACAAAUUCACCCCAAAAACCCCAAAUUCACUCCAAAAAUCCAAAAAUUCACCCCAAAAAACCCCAAAUUCACCCCAAAUUCACCCCAAAUUCACCCCAAAAAUCCACAGAUUCACCCCAAAAUACCCCAAAUUCACCCCAAAAAUCAACAAAUUCACCCCAAAUUCACCCCAAAAACCCCAAAAAUCAACAAAUUCACCCCAAAAACCCCAAAUUCACCCCAAAUUCACCCCAAAUUCACCCCAAAAAUCAACAGAUUCACCCCAAAAACCCCAAAUUCACCCCAAAAAUCUACAAAUUCACCCCAAAUUCACCCCAAAUUCACCUGUACCGGGAGGUGAGAGCCAAAAUCCCCCAAAUUCACCCCAAAAACCCCCAAAAAUCAACAAAUUCACCCCAAAAUCCUGGAUUCCCAGGUGGAAUUCCCGGAUUUCCCAUU